AUACGGAGGGUGCAAGCGUUAAUCGGAAUUACUGGGCGUAAAGCGCUCGUAGGCGGCUUGUUAAGUCGGAUGUGAAAGCCCCGGGCUCAACCUGGGAACUGCAUUCGAUACUGGCAAGCUAGAGUAUAGUAGAGGCAAGUGGAAUUCCGGGUGUAGCGGUGAAAUGCGUAGAUAUCCGGAGGAACAUCAGUGGCGAAGGCGACUUGCUGGACUAAUACUGACGCUGAGGAGCGAAAGCGUGGGGAGCAAACGGGAUUAGAUACCCUAGUAGUCC
Molecule: ribosomal RNA, 274 nt
Filed under: uncultured bacterium
Lineage: Bacteria
Description: partial 16S ribosomal RNA
Rfam family: Bacterial small subunit ribosomal RNA
Source: RNAcentral